GGAAUCUUGCGCAAUGGGCGAAAGCCUGACGCAGCGACGCCGCGUGGACGACGAUGCCCUUCGGGGUGUAAAGUCCUUUCGACCGGAACGAUAAUGACGGUACCGGUGGAAGAAGCUGCGGCUAACUACGUGCCAGCAGCCGCGGUAAUACGUAGGCAGCAAGCGUUGUUCGGAAUUACUGGGCGUAAAGAGUUCGUAGGCGGUGCGGCAAGUUCGGUGUGAAAUCUCCCGGCUCAACUGGGAGGGUGCGCUAAAUACUGCCGUGCUCGAGUAUAGGAGAGGUAAGCGGAAUUCCUGGUGUAGCGGUGAAAUGCGUAGAUAUCAGGAGGAACACCUGUGGUGUAGACGGCUUACUGGACUAUAACUGACGCUGAGGAACGAAAGCGUGGGUAGCAAAC
Molecule: ribosomal RNA, 398 nt
Filed under: uncultured bacterium
Lineage: Bacteria
Description: bacterial SSU rRNA
Rfam family: Bacterial small subunit ribosomal RNA
Source: RNAcentral